Long non-coding RNA from Chenopodium quinoa (quinoa), 3249 nucleotides. RefSeq lists it as uncharacterized. The record is from RefSeq and is a predicted model, not a curated record. The transcript has 3 exons. Lineage: Eukaryota; Viridiplantae; Streptophyta; Magnoliopsida; Caryophyllales; Amaranthaceae.
AUGGCUUCCAAAUUUCUGAUUCCUGAUUUGUCUAAGUUCACUAGUAGAAAAACUUAAAUGGGCACCGCAAAAUGCGCACCGGUUUUUAAAAAUUGGUGCAAAAAAAAAACAGGCAGGAUUGAGGGAAAGAGUUUUCGCACCGGUUCUAACCAAACCAGUGCAAAAAAUGAGUUAAUCGCACCGGUUCGAAUGCUUUUGUAAAAAAAAAAAUCGGGGCUUUAUUUCUUUCUUUCUAUUUCUGUCUUCUUUCUUUCUCUUUCCUCCAUCUCUUUCCCUUUCCUUUUCUCUAUCCUUCGUUCUCUACCACCGACCACCUCCUUUCGUUAUUCCGUCGCCGUGCUCUGGUGUUUUCCGUCGUCGUGCUUUGGCCCGGUCUGUUCCGGUGGGUUGUUCGUUUUGACGAAAUUCCGGUGCAUUUCAGGUAAAUUCUCUCCCUCAUCUGUAAAUUAAAGCUAGCUCAUUCUCCAUUCGAAUUCUUCAUUCUAAUUCUCCAUUCGGAUUCUUCAUUCGGGUCUGCUUCUCCUUUUGCGGUUCUGGGUUUUAUGUGUUUUGAUUUGUGUUUAGAUCUACUAUGGUUUCCCCAAAUUCCAAUUUCACAAUUUCAAGGUUCAAAAAUUAGAAAGAACAAACCAUAAAAUUCCCCUCAAAAUCAGAAACCUUGUUUGCUGAAAAUUCAAAACCCUUCGAACGAUCCUUAAUUGCAAGAUUCAGCCAACGCUUGCAAGAUCAGUUAUUCAACAACAUUUCAAGAAAAUAAUGAAGAAAUUGGAGACACAAGGGAUAUUGAUAACAUCACAUAAGGAUAUUAUCAUGAGAAAUUGAAGGAAUUAUUGAUCAAGAUCUUGAACUUGAAGUUGCAUGUUCGCAUAGUGAACCACUGAACGGUGAGGAACUCAUGAAUGUAGUGGAGGAAGAGGAACUUAACAUGUCAGCACUCAGCAGAUGCGACUGUUGUUGAAAAGCCGGCUGAGGUUAAGAAGAAGCCAGCCGAGAGGUUUGAUUUUGUGUUUGAACCAAACCAAAAAAGAGAGCAGAAGCAGCAGCUAAGACCUGGGGCACAGACAGAGCAGACAAAGCAGCCAACAGCAUAAGCAGAACAACAACCAAAAAACGAACAACAGCACCAACAGAAGCUUGCAAUAGCAGGAACCAACAGCGGCCUGUACACCAUAGAAACACCCUAACCAGCAUCCAGUAGCAGACACCCAACAGCUAUGCUUAUCAAAGUGCAGCUUAUCGUUUCUUUGUUAAUGGUACUAACAACUCUUAUGUAGGUGGCCAUAUCAUUGAGGCAGGAGAUGCAGAAUUCUUUGGGAACAUUUUUCCUUGGAAAAUGGCUUCCCCUAAUGAUAGUGAAUUACCUGCUAGUAGUUCUAUUAAUUUACCUAUUGCUAAUGCUCCUAUUACUAACGAUGAUUCUGUUUUGGAGCCAAGGAGAAGCAAAAGGGCACAAAAGGACAACAAUUUUGGUCUUGAUUUUAUUACUUCCUUUUUAUCGGAAUCUUCCUUAAUUGAUGAUGAUCUUGUGCAUAUCUUUGUUUUGGAAGAUGAUCCAAAAACCUAUGAUGAGGCAAUAUCAAUUCUCAAUAAUAACACUUGGGAAUUGGUUGAAUUUCCUAGAGGUUGUAAGCCCAUUACUUGUUAAUGGAUCUUUAGGAAAAAAUUGAAAGUCGAUGGAUCCAUAGACAAGUAUAAGGAAAGGAUAGUGGUAAGGGGUUUUACUCAAAAGUUUGGCAUUGAUUAUUUUGAUACUUACUCCCCUGUCACUAAAAUUGCAACCUUAGGAAUUUAAUUGCUCUUGCUUGCAUUUUUUAUCUUGUUGUUCACCAAAUGGAUGUCAAAACUGCAUUUUUGAAUGGUGACUUUGAUGAGGAGAUUUACAUGGUCCAACCUGAAGGAUUCGUUGUUCUGGGCGAAGAGAACAAGGUUUGCAAGUUAGUAAAGUCAUUAUAUGGGUUUAAGCAAGCUCCAAAGCAAUGGCAUGACAAAUUCGAUAAGACUAUGAAUGGUAAUGGUUUUCAUGUUAAUGAAGGUGAUUCUUGUGUUUAUUUUAAGCAUGAUGGUCUUGGUUGUGUGAUUAUUUGUCUUUAUGUGGAUGACAUGUUAAUUUUUGGGACUGACUUGGAUCAAGUAAAUGAGACAAAACAGUUUUUGAGUUCGAAUUUUGAAAUGAAACACAUGGGUGAGGCAGAUGUGAUUUUGGGAGUAAAAAUCAAAAGGACCCCAAAUGGCAUAUGUCUUAAUCAAUUACACUAUGUUGAAAAACUUCAAUAAAAGUUUGACUCAUUUAAUGUCAAUCUAGUUAAGACUCCUUAUGACCCGAGUUUCCACCUAAAGAAAAAUAAUGGUGAUCCAGUUGAUCAGUCUGAAUAUGCUAGAAUUAUUGGUAGUGUUAUGUUUCUUAUGAACUACACUAGACCUGACAUUGCUUAUUCUGUUAGUAGGUUGAGCAAGUACACUCAUAACCCUAAGUGUGAUUGGAUUGCUCUAAGGAGGUUGCUUAGGUACCUUAAGGGAACCAUGGAUUGGGGUUUGCACUACUCCAAAUUUCCUGGAGUUUUGGAGGGUUUUUGUGAUGCCAACUGGGUAUCCAACAAUGAUGAAGUUAACUCCACCAGUGGCUAUGUCCUCACCCGGGGGUGGAGCCGUAUCCUGGAAAUCUUGUAAGCAAUCUUGUACUACUAUGUCUACUAUGGAAUCUGAGUUUAUUGCUCUUGAAUUGGCAGGUCAUGAGGCAGAAUGGUUGAGGAACAUGCUUGUUGAUAUUCCACUGUGGGGAAAGCCAGCUCCUUCAUUUGCACUUCAUUGUGAUUCGCAAGCUGCGAUUGCUAUUGCACACAACCAUGCCUAUAAUGGGAAGAAGAGACACAUUCGUCUGAGGCAUAAGGCCGUCAGAAAUUUGUUGUCUGAAGGAGUGAUAUCAUUGGACUAUGUUAAGUCCGAAAAGAACAUUGCGGAUCCGUUGACUAAAGGCCUAUGUAGAAAAACUAGUUUUGAAAACAUCGGAAGAGAUGAGGCUAAACACUAGGCGAAAAAUACAAAUGGGCACCGGUUCAAAACCCCCAUUUCGCACCGAUUUUGAACCGGUCCUUAUUUGGGGGAUGCCAAAAACCAAAAGAUUUCGCACCGGUGCGAAAACUUAGAUUUUGCACCGGUUCUUGUUGUGAGCCUGUGCGAAAAAUGUCCCAAAAAAUAAAAAUAAAAACCUUUUAGCACCGGUUCUUGAUGUGAACCGGUGCGAAAAAUGGC